AACAUUCUUUCAAACUGGAAUCACCAAUCAAAGUCCUACACAGGACUGGGCUCAAGGCAGACCCAACUACCAGCGGACUGGCCUGAGUCAGAACUGGCCCACAAUGCUCCUCCAGAGUGAUGUGUCUUGGCCAGAGCCCAGACCUCCAAGAGACGAUGCCCAGGUCCUAGAAAGAAACUUUGGCUUGUGAUGUCUCCUGGCACCAUCUGGUGUUAAAGGUCACAUUGAUCCUCAGAUAUUCAGGAAGAUAUAUACAGAUGUGUAUCACUUCAUUCAUCCACUCAACUAUCCAUUCUUCUACCCAUCUGCUGGUUAAUUAAUUAGUUCAUUUAUCCAAAUAACGUCUAUUGAGCACCUUUGUAUACAAAGUUUCUGUUUCAUGUAUUUCUCUGAUGGUUUCAGGCAUGUAUUUCAUCUUGGGAGCAUGCUUCCUCUCUAGCGGUGGCUACAGCCUUGCCUGGUCUAACUUUAAUUAAAU
RNAcentral lists this long non-coding RNA (478 nucleotides) under Phascolarctos cinereus (koala). RNAcentral's name for it is "lncRNA (ENSPCIG00000004741.2)". The record is from RNAcentral. Lineage: Eukaryota; Metazoa; Chordata; Mammalia; Diprotodontia; Phascolarctidae.